RNAcentral lists this ribosomal RNA (407 nucleotides) under uncultured bacterium. RNAcentral's name for it is "bacterial SSU rRNA". It matches the Rfam family "Bacterial small subunit ribosomal RNA", at positions 29 to 458 of the family's 1533-position model. The record is from RNAcentral.
AACGAACGCUGGCGGCAUGCCUAACACAUGCAAGUCGAACGAGACCUUCGGGUCUAGUGGCGCACGGGUGCGUAACGCGUGGGAAUCUGCCCUUGGGUUCGGAAUAACAGUUAGAAAUGACUGCUAAUACCGGAUAAUGUCUUCGGACCAAAGAUUUAUCGCCCAGGGAUGAGCCCGCGUAGGAUUAGCUAGUUGGUGAGGUAAAGGCUCACCAAGGCGACGAUCCUUAGCUGGUCUGAGAGGAUGAUCAGCCACACUGGGACUGAGACACGGCCCAGACUCCUACGGGAGGCAGCAGUGGGGAAUAUUGGACAAUGGGCGAAAGACCUGAUCCAGCAAAUGCCGCGUGAGUGAUGAAGGCCUUAGGGUUGGUAAAAGCUCUUUUUACCCGGGAUGAUAAUGACAGU